RNAcentral lists this ribosomal RNA (472 nucleotides) under uncultured bacterium. RNAcentral's name for it is "partial 16S ribosomal RNA". It matches the Rfam family "Bacterial small subunit ribosomal RNA", at positions 28 to 507 of the family's 1533-position model. The record is from RNAcentral.
GACGAACGCUGGCGGCGUGCUUAACACAUGCAAGUAGAACGCUGAAGCUUGGUGCUUGCUCUGGGUGGAUGAGUGGCGAACGGGUGUGUAAUACGUGUGUACCCUGCCCUUGCCUCUGGGAUCAGCUUGGGAAGCUGGGUAUAAUACUGGAUACGUCAUGUUACCGUAUGAUGGUGUGUGGAAAGGGUUGUACUGGUUUUGGAUGGGCUCACGGCCUAUCUGCUUGUAGGUGGGGUAAUGGCGCACCAAGGCGCCGCGGUGUAGCCGGCCUGCGAGGGGGACCCGCCACACAGGGACUGAGGCACGGGCCAGACUGCUACUGGAGGCAUCAGCGGAAGAUUGACCGCAAUGGGCGGAAUCCGUAUGCAGCGACUCCGCGUCGUGGAGGACUGCCGUCGGGGUAGAAACCGCGUGCAGCACGGAAGAAGCGAAAGUGACGGUACGUUCAGAAGAAGCGCCGGCUAACUACGUG